GGACCAAGGAGUCUAGCAUGUGCGCGAGUCAUUGGGACUAGCGAAACCUAAAGGCGUAAUGAAAGUGAAGGCAUGCCUUGCGCAGGCCGAGGGAGGAUGGGUCCUGCUACGGCACGGACCCCGCACUCCCGGGGCGUCUCGUUCUCAUUGCGAGUUGAGGCGCACCCAGAGCGUACACGCUGGGACCCGAAAGAUGGUGAACUAUGCCUGGUCAGGACGAAGUCAGGGGAAACCCUGAUGGAGGUCCGUAGCGAUUCUGACGUGCAAAUCGAUCGUCGGAACUGGGUAUAGGGGCGAAAGACUAAUCGAACCAUCUAGUAGCUGGUUCCCUCCGAAGUUUCCCUCAGGAUAGCUGGCGCUCGUGCGAGCGAGUUUCAUCCGGUAAAGCGAAUGAUUAGAGGCAUUGGGGUCGAAACGGCCUCAACCUAUUCUCAAACUUUAAAUGGGUGAGAUCUCCGGCUUGCUUAACUGUGAAGCCGCGAGACUUGAUCGAAUCAGAGUGCCAAGUGGGCCACUUUUGGUAAGCAGAACUGGCGCUGUGGGAUGAACCAAACGCCGAGUUAAAGCGCCUAAAUCGACGCUUAUGGGAUACCAUGAAAGGCGUUGGUAACUUAAGACAGCAGGACGGUGGCCAUGGAAGUCGGA
This 645-nucleotide ribosomal RNA is filed under the name Scaphidium quadrimaculatum. Its description in RNAcentral is "eukaryotic LSU rRNA". It matches the Rfam family "Eukaryotic large subunit ribosomal RNA", at positions 663 to 1265 of the family's 3401-position model. The record is from RNAcentral. Lineage: Eukaryota; Metazoa; Arthropoda; Insecta; Coleoptera; Staphylinidae.